UGGAAGACUAGUGAUUUUGUUGUUCUGGUUUAGAAAGCUGACAACAAAUCACAGCCUACCAUC
Molecule: microRNA precursor, 63 nt
Filed under: Python bivittatus (Burmese python)
Lineage: Eukaryota; Metazoa; Chordata; Lepidosauria; Squamata; Pythonidae
Description: Pbv-Mir-7-P4_pre stem-loop
Rfam family: mir-7 microRNA precursor family
About the family: This family represents the microRNA (miRNA) precursor mir-7. In this case the mature sequence comes from the 5' arm of the precursor. The extents of the hairpin precursors are not generally known and are estimated based on hairpin prediction.
Source: RNAcentral